Molecule: ribosomal RNA, 255 nt
Filed under: uncultured bacterium
Lineage: Bacteria
Description: partial 16S ribosomal RNA
Rfam family: Bacterial small subunit ribosomal RNA
Source: RNAcentral
CAAACCAAAGCUGGCGACCGGCGCACGGGUGAGUAACACGUAUCCAACCUGCCUCAUACUCGGGGAUAGCCUUUCGAAAGAAAGAUUAAUAUCCGAUAGCAUAUAUUUCCCGCAUGGGUUUUAUAUUAAAGAAAUUCGGUAUGAGAUGGGGAUGCGUUCCAUUAGUUUGUUGGGGGGGUAACGGCCCACCAAGGCUACGAUGGAUUGGGGUUCUGAGAGGAAGGUCCCCCACAUUGGAACUGAGACACGGUCCAA